This 253-nucleotide ribosomal RNA is filed under the name uncultured bacterium. Its description in RNAcentral is "partial 16S ribosomal RNA". It matches the Rfam family "Bacterial small subunit ribosomal RNA", at positions 524 to 776 of the family's 1533-position model. The record is from RNAcentral.
UACGAAGGGGGCUAGCGUUGCUCGGAAUCACUGGGCGUAAAGGGUGCGUAGGCGGGUCUUUAAGUCAGGGGUGAAAUCCUGGAGCUCAACUCCAGAACUGCCUUUGAUACCGAGGAUCUUGAGUUCGGGAGAGGUGAGUGGAACUGCGAGUGUAGAGGUGAAAUUCGUAGAUAUUCGCAAGAACACCAGUGGCGAAGGCGGCUCACUGGCCCGAUACUGACGCUGAGGUGCGAAAGCGUGGGGAGCAAACAGG